Molecule: ribosomal RNA, 1184 nt
Filed under: uncultured organism
Description: bacterial SSU rRNA
Rfam family: Bacterial small subunit ribosomal RNA
Source: RNAcentral
UGCGUGUCAUUAGCUAGUUGGUAAGGUAACGGCUUACCAAGGCGACGAUGACUAGGGGGUCUGAGAGGAUGGUCCCCCACACUGGUACUGAGACACGGACCAGACUCCUACGGGAGGCAGCAGUGAGGAAUAUUGGGCAAUGGGCGCAAGCCUGACCCAGCCAUGCCGCGUGCAGGAUGACUGCCCUAUGGGUUGUAAACUGCUUUUAUACGGGAAGAAUGGUUCCUACGUGUAGGGAUUUGACGGUACCGUAAGAAUAAGCAUCGGCUAACUCCGUGCCAGCAGCCGCGGUAAUACGGAGGAUGCAAGCGUUAUCCGGAUUCAUUGGGUUUAAAGGGUGCGCAGGCGGAAUAUUAAGUCAGUGGUGAAAUCCUGCAGCUUAACUGUAGAACUGCCAUUGAUACUGAUAUUCUUGAAUAUAGUUGAGGUGGGCGGAAUGUGUAAUGUAGCGGUGAAAUGCUUAGAUAUUACACAGAACACCGAUUGCGAAGGCAGCUCACUAAACUAAUAUUGACGCUGAGGCACGAAAGCGUGGGGAGCGAACAGGAUUAGAUACCCUGGUAGUCCACGCUGUAAACGAUGAUCACUCGCUGUUGGCAAUACAUCGUCAGCGGCUGAGCGAAAGCAUUAAGUGAUCCACCUGGGGAAUACGAUCGCAAGAUUGAAACUCAAAGGAAUUGACGGGGGCCCGCACAAGCGGAGGAACAUGUGGUUUAAUUCGAUGAUACGCGAGGAACCUUACCUGGGCUUAAAUGCAGAACGACGUUUCGGGAAACCGGAAUUUCUUCGGACGGACUGCAAGGUGCUGCAUGGCUGUCGUCAGCUCGUGCCGUGAGGUGUCGGGUUAAGUCCCAUAACGAGCGCAACCCUUAUCGUUAGUUGCCAGCGGGUAAUGCCGGGGACUCUAACGAAACUGCCGGUGUAAACCGUGAGGAAGGUGGGGAUGACGUCAAGUCAGCACGGCCCUUAUGUCCAGGGCUACACACGUGUUACAAUGGUCGGUACAAAGGGCAGCUACCUGGCAACAGGAUGCUAAUCUCGAAAACCGAUCUCAGUUCGGAUUGAAGUCUGCAAUUCGACUUCAUGAAGCUGGAUUCGCUAGUAAUCGCGCAUCAGCCACGGCGCGGUGAAUACGUUCCCGGGCCUUGUACACACCGCCCGUCAAGCCAUAGAAGCUUGGGGUA